GCCCCCGUGGUCGAGCCAGGAUAAGAUGCUGGGCUUCGGACCCAGUGGUCGAGGGUUCAAAUCCCUCCGGGGGCG
Transfer RNA from Methanotorris igneus Kol 5, 75 nucleotides. It matches the Rfam family "tRNA". From Rfam's summary of the family: Transfer RNA (tRNA) molecules are approximately 80 nucleotides in length. Lineage: Archaea; Methanobacteriati; Methanobacteriota; Methanococci; Methanococcales; Methanocaldococcaceae. The record is from Rfam.